Long non-coding RNA from Mercenaria mercenaria, 2042 nucleotides. RefSeq lists it as uncharacterized. NCBI's taxonomy places the organism in Eukaryota, Metazoa, Mollusca, Bivalvia, Venerida, Veneridae. The record is from RefSeq and is a predicted model, not a curated record. The transcript has 2 exons.
ACAUACUAUUGUGUAAAUCUCCGGUAUAACUGAAUGAAAAUAUUGUAAUGUAACAGGUUUGAAAGGUUCGGAAUAUUGUAUAUUCUAUAAAUCAUUGUUUAAUAUGCUACGUAGAAAGAUGAUAAACUGUAAUACUUGAAAAUAUUGAAAGUUGCUGAAUUGUCAAACCUGUCACAAAACAUGUAGCCCAAGGGUUAAACAGGUAUACUUAGUUGUUUAUAUCAUUUACUUCCGGGAUCAAAGUUAGAUAUGUUAAGGAAAAAGGCACGACGAAUUGUGUAAUUUUACAUAGCGGCUAGACUGCUUAAUUAAAUAUAUAUGCUGAAAUAUAAUUAUCUACGGUCAGAGUCAGUUAGAUUGGGAGUUAGAGAGAAAGAUGGGUUAAAAAUGCUAGAUUGAAAAGGUCACCUUUACUUAAUAAUAUCUAGCUAAAAUGUUAUGUUUAAAUAUUAAAGACUGUUGCUAUGAUAAAUAAAACUGGUUAAAAGGUUAUGUUUGUUGUAUUGAAUGGCCACGCUACGUUACAAUAUUACUUCCUUAUUUUACUCAUUCAUAAACUAGCGUAAAUAUUUACCACAGAUUUCAAACAGACUAUUGGGUAAAAAACACUCAACCGAUAAAAAUCAAUUGGUUUUCUAUACAGUAAAAAAAGAUAUACCGAUAUCGCUUUUGUGUUAUAAUAAUAGCAGUACGUGACAUUUUCUGAAAAUGAUAAUGAAUUCAGUUUUAUAAAUAACUGACACAUUUUUGGAAAACUGUAAUACUGGUUUUCUGUUUACUAAUACUAGAACAUUCGUUGUGUUAAGUCACGUAAAACUUUGUAGCAGUUUAGUAUUUGGCGUAAAUGAAUAAGGAUAUAAAGAUUAAAAAUGAGUUUUGAAGAGUUCUUUAAAGAUAUUGAUUGUCUUACUGUGGCUUUGAGAGAGAAAUACCCUAACGACCCUGAUGUGCAGAAAUGGAAUGAAAUAUACUGCAAAAGAUACUAUGAUCUUCUCAUUCAACAUAUUUGGAAUCCAGACGAAUUUCAAAUACUUCAAGAAGAGAACACUAGAUUAAAACAAGAAUUACAGACUUUAAAACAAAGUUCUUCUAAAACAAUGACGUCGUCCAUAUCAAAACAAACGAAAUAUGAUAAAAUUAGAAAAAAUAUUCAACAAUCAUAUUCAGAAGAAAGAAGGUUAACUCGCGACUGUGAUUACUCUAAAGAACCAACGAUUGAUUUAUGUAUUAAAGCUUUGGGAACGUAUGACAAAUUGAUCAGCUCGGAUAAACGGAAUGUAGUUUUAAAUUCUGCGAACAAAGGACAUGUUUUAAAAGAUUUAAAAAAACUAUCAAGAAAGGAAAAGAAAGGAUUUAUGGAUAUACUAAAAAAUCAUGGUUUCGUUUAUUCAUUAUCACAUUGCAAUUUUUUAAUACGUUUAUAUGAUUUUGCAAUGACUCAUAAUAAAAUAUUACAUUGUGCUUUAUCUAUUGAGUAUAUUUGUCAAAAUUUUACAAUCAUUAAGAAAAUCUUUCAAGAAUUGACUUGGUGAAUACAAAUAAGUCACUCAACCGUAGGAUUAUAUUAUAAUCACAUGCACGAAUGAACAUCAUAAUAUUACGUUUUCUUGAAAUCAUUCAACCGUAGGAUUAUAUUAUAAUCACAUGCACGAAUGAACAUCAUAAUAUUACGUUUUCUUGAAAUCAUUCAACCGUAGGAUUAUAUUAUAAUCACAUGCACGAAUGAACAUAAUAAUAUUUCAUAUUGUCAAAAUUAUUCAACUGUAGGAUUAUAUUAUAAUCAAAUGCAUGAAUGAACAUCAUUGAAAAGUAGUAUGAAAUAUAACGCUUAUGAUACAUUUUUGUUAGUAGUAAAGAAUAUUACGUUCUUGGUACAUUUUAAUACAUUUUAAUACAUUUUAACUCAUUUUAUUAAAAUAAUUUAUAAUUGUUUGUUCAUUUACUCUUUGAUUGUUAACUUUUAGUAUUUUAUACAAUAAAUCAUACAACGGUAUUUUAUCUUGUAACAUUUUUAUAAAAAAUAAACAAUAAUAACCACAGAG